UAAGGAAUAUUGGUCAAUGGGCGCAAGCCUGAACCAGCCAUGCCGCGUGCAGGAAGACGGCCCUAUGGGUCGUAAACUGCUUUUGUCAGGGAAUAAACCCCCGCUCGUGAGCGGGGCUGAAGGUACCUGAAGAAUAAGCAUCGGCUAACUCCGUGCCAGCAGCCGCGGUAAUACGGAGGAUGCAAGCGUUAUCCGGAUUCAUUGGGUUUAAAGGGUGCGCAGGCGGAUUGGUAAGUCAGGGGUGAAAUCCCACAGCUCAACUGUGGAACUGCGUUUGAUACUGUCAGGCUAGAGUAUAGUUGAAGUGGGCGGAAUGUGUCAUGUAGCGGUGAAAUGCUUAGAUAUGACACAGAACACCGAUCGCGAAGGCAGCUCGCUAAGCUAUAACUGACGCUCAUGCACGAAAGCGUGGGGA
RNAcentral lists this ribosomal RNA (415 nucleotides) under uncultured bacterium. Its description in RNAcentral is "bacterial SSU rRNA". It matches the Rfam family "Bacterial small subunit ribosomal RNA", at positions 355 to 767 of the family's 1533-position model. The record is from RNAcentral.